AUGGGCGCAAGCCUGAUGCAGCCAUGCCGCGUGUGUGAAGAAGGCCUUCGGGUUGUAAAGCACUUUCAGCAGUGAGGAAGGCGGGUACGUUAAUAGCGUAUUCGUUUGACGUUAGCUGCAGAAGAAGCACCGGCUAACUCCGUGCCAGCAGCCGCGGUAAUACGGAGGGUGCGAGCGUUAAUCGGAAUUACUGGGCGUAAAGCGCAUGCAGGUGGUUCGUUAAGUCAGAUGUGAAAGCCCGGGGCUCAACCUCGGAACUGCAUUUGAAACUGGCGGACUAGAGUACUGUAGAGGGGGGUAGAAUUUCAGGUGUAGCGGUGAAAUGCGUAGAGAUCUGAAGGAAUACCGGUGGCGAAGGCGGCCCCCUGGACAGAUACUGACACUCAGAUGCGAAAGCGUGGGGAGCAAACAGGAUUAGAUACCCUGGUAGUCCACGCCGUAAACGAUGUCUACUUGGAGGUUGUGGCCUUGAGCCGUGGCUUUCGGAGCUAACGCGUUAAGUAGACCGCCUGG
This 513-nucleotide ribosomal RNA is filed under the name Vibrio sp. 7Bf1S1. RNAcentral's name for it is "bacterial SSU rRNA". It matches the Rfam family "Bacterial small subunit ribosomal RNA", at positions 371 to 876 of the family's 1533-position model. The record is from RNAcentral. Lineage: Bacteria; Pseudomonadati; Pseudomonadota; Gammaproteobacteria; Vibrionales; Vibrionaceae.